This 261-nucleotide long non-coding RNA is filed under the name Manihot esculenta (cassava). Its description in RNAcentral is "long non-coding RNA (MESC_LNC003948)". Lineage: Eukaryota; Viridiplantae; Streptophyta; Magnoliopsida; Malpighiales; Euphorbiaceae. The record is from RNAcentral.
UUCACAAAAGCCUUACUUAAUCUUCACUUUAGGCUUCCCUUUGUGUAGUCUUAGCCCAUAGAUUUGAUUAGGCUCCCUAAGCCUAUGAUUGCAAGUGUUGCACCAAAUCUGUCCCAUAUGAGUUGAAGCACGCCCCAAAUAUAUAUGGAUCAUAUGAAUAUGAUUUUGAACUCCUUUUAGAUCCAUUUGAAUGACAUAAGUUUGCUCCACACCAUUGUUAGAAAUUUGCCCUAUUGGAUCCGUAUCAUUCUCUCCUUCUUU